GUGGUCCAGGAUCCAAAAUCUGAGACUCACUGAAAGGGAGAAACAGGCUUUCUCUGUUCUAGUCCAACACCAUUUGGUAUUUUCUCUUACAGGCUGUUCUCUCCACCUCACUGCACAGAGAAAACACCCCAGAGUAUCCUGUUCAGAGCCACUUCCUUACCCUACAUCCCAGUGGAUGCAGCUUCUGAAAGGAAGCAGAGUCGGCAAGGAUGGAGUGCUUUUGGGAAUCAUUCCCAGCAUGUGGAGACUGCAGUCUGCAGCAAGCAAGGGCAGCUCCCUCAGCAAGUGGAAAAUGGGCUUCACCUCCGUGCGGUCUCCCUGUGGUUUGCUUCCCUUGCGAUAUUAUUUUUGAAUAGCAGGCAGGAGCUUGGUGUCUCUUGCUCUGUUUAGUACAUCCAAUAACCAAACCUGGCCCACUUCUGGGUGGUCCUCGUGAAAUACCAGAAAACCACACAAAGGCCAUGUGAUUUAAUAGUCCUAAGAAACAGAGAAAUUGCUUUGACAGAUACCUCAAAAUCAGUUCUUCAAGAAAUGGGAUGUUUCAACCAAUGUCCAUUCCACUUGUGUUUUUUCCCCUAUUUCCUUUUCUCUUUCUUUGCCCUUAGUUCUUCAUUCUGAUAAACCAGCCUGGAAAAUGUAGAUGACUGAUGUGAUGUGUUGAUGCCUGAUUUGGUCUUAGGAUGGGGAAUGUUACACAAAAAGUCUUCCAGGUUAAAGAAUUCAGAUCCCAGUCGCUAGGCAGAGUGGAUCACUUCAGGAUCAAGAAGAAGGAGGGAUACGAAGAGCCAGCCAUGAAAGCACAGACUACUACACAGGGUUCAUUUGCCAGCAGAAGAGGCCAAAAGGUGAGGUGCGAGAGCUGAGUGCUGCUUCACUUACACGACAGUGACCCAUCUGCUGCCCUGGAGUUCCUCUGGGUUUCCAGUGAAGGACUUGACAGCGGGCCAUCACACCCUGCUAGCACAGUUCUUGUAUCGCUAUUGCAAGCACUCUGCAGAUCUGGCACUUUCCAGCUGAGACAUUUCAGAGAGCUCUAAGCUAAGGUAAUCAAACAGCU
This 1057-nucleotide long non-coding RNA is filed under the name Phasianus colchicus (ring-necked pheasant). Its description in RNAcentral is "lncRNA (ENSPCLG00000000275.1)". The record is from RNAcentral. Lineage: Eukaryota; Metazoa; Chordata; Aves; Galliformes; Phasianidae.